Transfer RNA from Lachnospiraceae bacterium, 74 nucleotides. It matches the Rfam family "tRNA". Rfam says of the family: Transfer RNA (tRNA) molecules are approximately 80 nucleotides in length. Their secondary structure includes four short double-helical elements and three loops (D, anti-codon, and T loops). Lineage: Bacteria; Bacillati; Bacillota; Clostridia; Lachnospirales; Lachnospiraceae. The record is from Rfam.
GGCCUCAUGGCUCAGUUGGUUAGAGCGCCGCCCUGUCACGGCGGAGGUCGUCGGUUCGAGUCCGAUUGGGGUCG